Molecule: long non-coding RNA, 947 nt
Organism: Oxyura jamaicensis (ruddy duck)
Lineage: Eukaryota; Metazoa; Chordata; Aves; Anseriformes; Anatidae
Exons: 3
Source: RefSeq, a predicted model, not a curated record
CCUUUUUCUCCACCCCCCCCUCCCCAACCUCUCCCUUUAACCCCCCCCCCCAGCCCUAUCCUCUUAUCUCAGCUGUGUACAAACUGAUACGGCACUUAGCAGGAAAGUGACUGGAAAUUAAAAUAACUCGGUUCGCCAGAGGUUAUCAGCUGGGUAUCUGUCAUCAUCAGUCCCUACACAAAGACGCAUCCGCGGCCAGGGCUGGCAGCAGAGCUCAGACCGGGCUCGGCGGGGCCGCAUCCAGCCCGGACUCCGGGCCCCGCUUCUCCUGGGGGGUCGCAAGGCAAAGAAAUGCCACAAAGCAGCAGAAUCAGGCAAAAGCUCCCAGCGCGAUGUUUGAUGUGGGACCAAAUCCAUCCAUCCAUCCGUCCGUCCGUCCGUCCGCCCAUCCAUCCACGUAGCGACACUGGCUCCGUUUUGUGGGGUUUUCCUCUGAAAACCGGAGCAAACCGCACCUCUGCUCUUGGCACUUGCCGCAAGCGCUCGGCUCUCGUUGGGAAACAAUUUUCAUGACAAUUUAGCCGCUUUACCGAGGAGUCUGAGAACAAAGCUAGUUUAAAAGAAGGAAAUGGAAAAUGCUGCUUUGUACCGCCGUUAUUGCCGGUCACAUUGAAUUUGCAACUAAUUCGUAAAGGACAUCCGUAUUUCCAAAUAAUGAAAAGUGCAUUUAGAGAGACGGUUGUCCCCUAAGAUGGUUGUAACGGGGUGGCUGCAGUGCAUUGUUCCGCUGCCGUUAUUGAUGUGUUCUAAAAGGUCACAGCCCAAUGAAUUACAAGGCACCAAACUACUCUGCUUACAUCCCGAUUAGGUGGCUAUGAGCAAGAAGUGCUGCGGUCGGUUAUACAUAAGGGUGUUUUUUACUCUCUGUAAUAAUUUUUUACAUUUAUUGUAAUUGAUGGGCAUAAUACAUGUGCAAGGAAUUAAAGUAACACAGUAUUGGCAAAGUA